Molecule: non-coding RNA, 80 nt
Organism: Ixodes scapularis (black-legged tick)
Lineage: Eukaryota; Metazoa; Arthropoda; Arachnida; Ixodida; Ixodidae
Source: Rfam
GCAGUCGUGGUCGAGUGGUUAAGGCGAUGGACUACAAAUCCAUUGGGCUCUCCUAGCAGUUUCGACUCCUGUCGACUGCG